ACAUCCAUAAAAUUAUCAUCAGUUAGUAGAUUGUUAAAUGAAAAU
This 45-nucleotide non-coding RNA is filed under the name Trypanosoma brucei brucei. Lineage: Eukaryota; Euglenozoa; Kinetoplastea; Trypanosomatida; Trypanosomatidae. The record is from RNAcentral.